Non-coding RNA from Podarcis lilfordi (Lilford's wall lizard), 7419 nucleotides. The record is from the annotation of a GenBank genome assembly. Lineage: Eukaryota; Metazoa; Chordata; Lepidosauria; Squamata; Lacertidae.
GCCUGAGCUAGUUGCAAACAACAAAUGAAUCUCUGGGUUCACCAAAGGCUACGAGAAGGAAGAAGCAAUGACUAGCUUUCGCUUUUGAAAAUAUCAAUGGCAGCAGUGACUCUGGUCUGUUUCUAAAGCUAAUCAGAACAGAAGCAUCUCUUAUAAGGUAGACUUAGCACUUACAAGAGCUCUGCCAAUGAUAACUCUGGCAUGGCAGCCCCCAAAUUGUUUUAGGAUCCCCUUGCGGACAUGGACCUUUGUUUUGUUUUUGUCUUCAGUAGUUGUGUGUCUGAGAGAAGUUAAACAAGAUCUUCAGGGAGGAGGACCCUUUUCCAAGAUGGAAUUCAGCCGGGGAACCUGAGGAAAACUGGGGGGUUCUGAUUAGCACUGCAAACCUUGAACCACUAAAGAAUUCCUGUUGGUUUCAAUUGGGGUUAAUUCACAGUGGGUGGUGUGAGGAUUGUGGCCCAAUAACCUGAUCCUUUACACUUGCUGCACCCAGAAUGCACUGCAGCAGCCAACACAAUUUUCCUCUGGACGCUACAGGGCCAAUGAUAGAUUACACAGGUACCAAUGCUUGGGCAAAUUAGCAAGCCAGUUCCGUUUUGCAAGCCAGCCUUUUGGCACAUAAGUUCCAUUUUGUUCCAAUUGCUUUGUACCUUGUACGUCUCAAGCUUGCUGUGGGGUCUCUCGUUCUCUGUGCUCUACUGCUCAAUGCGCUAUCAUCAGUCUCUGUUCAAAGAAAAAUGGAGAAUUAUUAGGGGCCGGCAAGUGUUUUUCCUAGUGGAUUCAAAUUAAUUUAGCGGAGUUUCCCUUCAGCAGCGAGCUUUGCGCCGAGCAUGUGGGAAUUCUUCUGCUGGCAUGGGCAUGUGAUGAUAAUGAAAUGUCACUAUUAUGGGAUGAGCAGGCUGCGGAGCUCAGGGCCUACUCCAGGCGGCAAAAACCACAGCCUUCCACGAACACCCCAGGGGAUGCUGAUGCAACGCAACCAGAAAGCCUAUGAAUGGCAGAUAGCGCAGCUCCCUGUGUGCUAGGCAGCUGGAGGAACUUUCUUCCAGUGUUCCUGCCUGCCUGCCAGCUGCUCUCUUAAUCCCUGAGGUCUCUUUCUAAAGUAGGCAAAGGGAACAGGAAGCUUGCUGACAACAGAGUCGAGCCAUUGUUCCAUCUAGCCAUUGUUCACAUUGACUAGCAAGCAGAGCCCCAGGAUUUCAGGCUUUCUCCCAGCCCUCUGUGGAGAUGGCUGGGGAUAGAACCUGGACCUUCUGCAUGCCAAGCAGGUGUUCUGCCCAAGAGCGACAGUGCUUCCCUAAAGGGUUGCAGCCAGGAAAUAAAUAUGCUGAUGGCCCCAGAAGAAGAAGAAACUGCAUCUGCCAAAAUAUAUCCCCCCUGAAAAAUGAAGGGGCACCGUUAUUCCUUCUCAGUCCUAUUAUGCCCCCCCCCCCCGGGGGCUAUUUGGGGAACAUGGGGCGGGGGGAGAAUAUAAAUUGAAUUAUUAAUAACAAUAAACCCCAAACUCCCUUCUGGGUUUUUCUGCAUAGAAUUCGUCCUGCGAGGCAGGCUCAAACGGAAAACCCUUUCGUCUAGCGGUUUUUCCGUCUUGCGAGGCAUUCGUCUUGCGGGGCACCACUGUAUGUAAGCGAGUCUUUGAACACGCUUUUUCGAAACGCCAGAAUUACGGCUCUUUCUGAUAAAUAAAGAAUGCUUAACGAACAUGCCAGAAUUCCCUAGCUCAGUGGAACAGGCCGUGUUUUUUUGUGGGCAUUUUGCCCUGGCACCUCCUGUUUGGACUGGGACAGAGUCCUUUCUGAAACCUCGCAUAGCUGCUGCCGGUCAGUGAGAGCAUACUGAGAUAGGUGGAACAAUGAUCUGAUGAGGAAUGUGUUUAAAAGUAACAUUAAGUAAAGCAUGCAGUGUAUAACAUGCACAUUCAGAGACAUACCACACAUGACAUAGACCUUUAACCCCUCCUAUGCAUAUAAAACCUAUGCAUAUAAAACCUACUCAUUAAGCUGGCAACACUUCAUAAAACAUGUAUAAGUACAUUCAUUCUUAGAUGCUUCUCAUUUGAAUAAAGCUAUUUUUCCCUGUCUUCCAAAACAAAAAUCAGCUUAGCACUACCGGAUCUCAUUUUAAUUAAAGCAGUUAAUUUGUUCGUUUUCUGACACAGAGGGGUGUGCAUUACAUUGGGUUCUCCCCCCCACCCCAGUUAUUUGCUAAUAUCAUUUUAGCACCCUCUAGAAGAUUACAAGCCAAAUUCCUAUUUACUUUCCUGACACAGUCUCUCGGGCUGUUUAAGAUGCCACUUUGUGAAGCGUAAGACAAAGAAUGCCUGCUGCGUUGCCUUCCAUUAUUUAUAAUCUCUCUCUACCCCACACAACCUCUGGUUGUUACAUCACCACAAAAUGUGGCAAGAGGAAAAAACCUACCAACCUAACACACCCUUACUGAGCAUUUCUCUUACUGGUAGUCACAUGUUACAUAGGUCUAGUACUUAAAAUAUAAGUAUUUGGAAAUAUGCAAUACAAUACAACUGGAAUUGGGUGCUAAUUCCUGUCGACUGUAGACUUGCUGAGAAAGCUAGGUUCCCUGCCACGUAUGUGAAAUGGCUCUUAUGCUAAGGUUACCAGAUUUCAAUGAAUCUGGGGACACUUUUCAAUUUCAGUGGAUUUUGUAUGGGGACUGAUGUGUAAAUCCGGGGACUGUCCCCGAGAAAUGGGGACCUCUAGUAACCUUACCUUAUGAAAAUUGCAAGAAGAAUGGAAAAUGGAGAAACUAGUUCUCAAAAGUGCCAAUGCUUUAUAUAUAUAUAUAUAUAUAUAUAUAUAUAUAUAUAUAUAUAUAUGUUUUUUAUUGAAAUAUUUUCAUGGAUAACAAAGGUACAUACAAUAUCUCUGUUUUCAAUUCAUAGAGUCCCUUCUACAGGACGAUUACAUUUGAUGUGAGAGACUGCUGUCAUAGGAAUUGUGAGGGGGCAGGGGCAGGGGCAGGAGAGAGAUAAAGAUAGUGUUUUUAUUGCAUUUCCCUAAAAAUUCCUUCAGGACAGCUUGCAAGAACAAUACAUAUACAAUAGCAACAGCAACAACAUCAUCAUCACAAAAAAACUGCAACACAAAUAUUGAUACCAAAAUCGGCAUUGGACAAAUCUUAACUUAAAAGCAUAAAAAUGUGAACCCAGGGAAGGUCUGUUUCAUUAAAACAGCAUUUGGCGUCUAUUGAAAGCCAAUUUUCUCAGGUGCCUGUUCCAAAUUAUGGGCACCACCACCAGAAAGACCCUGUCUCUUACACCAGAGAUAGGCAACAUGCUGCUCUUCAGAUGCUGUGGACUACAUCAAGAUCGCUCGAACUAUCCCAAACUAGCACAGUGUUCUUCAACCUUGGGUCCCUGGAUGUUGCUGGACUACAGCCCCCAUCAUCCUCAGCCAGUUUAGUCAAUAGUCAAGGCUCAUGGGUGUUGUAGUCCAUCAACAUCCUGGAACCCAAGGUCAAAGGUCGUUAUUUAUGUCAGCAUAUGAGGUUUUUUGAAGUUAUGCUUUAUAUAUAAUGGUAUUAGUAGAUAAUUCAUGGCUAAACUGUAGAUAUGUCCUCCUGUUAUUAAACAAAGCAGGAGUUUGAUCAGGGUUCUGUAGUGUAGUCCAAUCAUGGUGGUUGUGAGUGGGGGAAAAACCUCUUCAUUUUUUUCUCUGGAGAAGUCCAUAGUGCUUUGUUUGCCUCAGGCUUCUGCCUUUCAUUUGCUCAGGCUCAGUAAGGAAGACAGCCAACUUCUUAAAGCACCUUCGGCUGAGAGAUAAAAGCCCCACCCACCCCACCGUUUAUUACAUCUGGCUUGAGCACCUCCAUGAGCCUGGCUGAAUUAUAUCCAUAUUAACAGAACUCGCCAGAGCCUUGGGCUGUUUUUGUCUGGAAUGGCUCGGGAAUGGCUUUCAGUGCCCAUUUGUAAUGCUGCCUCAUUUGGUACGUUCUUCUUAGAAAUCCCUUCCUCUAUCGGGGCCAAUUCAGACAUCUUCCAAAUGGCUUCAGAGAAGCAAUUGCUGUGAGCGUGCUAUGUAUUCCGCCCCCCCCAGUGCAUUUCUACAGCAUCUUGAGAGAAAGCAGGCACCAAUAGUAGUUAGAAGGCUUGCGUAGUCCCUGCUCAGUGAUACCGAAGCAGGCAAUUUAGUGGACGCCUUUUGUAAUUGCCCAAUUAACACAGUCGUAAUGCAUCUAAUAACAAAGCUUGUCCACCCUCGGUUCACUAUUAACUUGGGUAGCACUUCGUACUUGUAUAUCUUCCCUCCAAGGACCCAUAAUAACUUUGGGAAAUGGCUGGUUUGACUUCACGUUUAAGAGGCCAUGGAGCCACUAUUAACUUUAAAAAUGGAAGAUCCAUCAUCACUGAUUUCCCACUUCAUGUCUAGUUGCGUGCUCAGUGCCCUGGCUUGGAGAGCUAUGCUGCUUGACCUCAAUAUAACUAGAACUCUCUCCAGUGCCGAUUGCUUUGUAAUCAAACUUCUUCUGCCACAAUCAUUUGCCUUUCAGCAUCAAAAAGUAAAUGGCCAUGAACUCAACUUACGAUAACUAAGGAAGUUUCUGUUGUCCCGAUUCAGCAGCAGAGCUCCGUCGUAGUAGAAGUGAUUCUGCUUAUCCGUCUCCUCCUCCACCAGCACAAAAGCAGUCCUUUGAAACAGGCACUUGCCUCGUUGCCUAUAGCAAUUAAAAAUGGUCUCCAGGCAACCAGCCAAGAGAUGCUUUGGUAAAUGGGAAAGGGUUGGUUUAUUGUCUUUUUCUCUAUUGCUGCUGAAGUGCUACAAAUGAAACUAGGCAGCAACACUUUUUUUAUGGGGUAGUAACUGUUGUGAAAUCACUUGCAAGGCUGCACAAAGAAAGAAAAGGUUGGAUGUGGAAAGACAAUGCAGAGGACUGUGACAAUAUUGAUCAUUGUAGAGGAGGAGGAAGCCUGUCCCCUCCAAGCGAAGGUACACCACUUCUUGCUUUUCCUUUUAGCUCCUGAAGCAAAUGCGUAUAUAUGCAUUGGGGUAAAGUAGGUUGCCUCUGGACAGCAAAGAUGGCAUGCUCUUUGUCAUUAGUUUGCACCUGUAGGCAAUUCUGGAAACGAGAAGGAAGCUUUCCUUCCCUAAACCAGGGAUGAGGAAUUUUUGGCCCUCCACAUGUUGAUGGACUACAACUCCCAUCAUCCCUGACUGACCACUGGCCAUGCUGGCUGCGGCUGAUGGGAGUUGUGGUCCUGCAACAUCUGAGGUGGCCACAGGUUUCUCACCCCUGCCCUAAACAAAUGAAUGCCUUAAACCCUUAGGCCCUUGUUCCUCAAAAUUGUUGUUGUUGUUGUUUAGUCGUUUAGUCGUGUCCGACUCUUCGUGACCCCAUGGACCAGAGCACGCCAGGCACUCCUGUCUAACACUGCCUCCCACAGCUUGGUCAAACUCAUGUUAGUAGCUUCGAGAACACUGUCCAACCACCUCGUCCUCUGUCGUCCCCUUCUCCUUGUACCCUCAAUCUUUCCCAACAUCAGGGUUUUUUCCAGGGAGUCUUCUCUUCUCAUGAGGUUCCUCAAAAUACCUCCACAUAUUUCCCAGUCCCUCACAAAUAAGUGUUGCUUUCCCCUUAUGGUGACAGGUAUGCCUUUGGGUGCCAGGUGGCGGCAUGCAACUGUGAAGCAACAUAGUAAUAGUAACAGUAUUAGUAGUAAUAAAAUUGUUUGUAUCCCGCCCACCUGACUGGGUUGCCCCAGCCACUAUGGGUGGCUUCCAGCAUAUACAGAAACAUAAUAAAUCAUCGGACAUUAAAAACUUUCCUCAGUAGCAGGACAUCUGUUUUGCAUGGCAGAAGGUCCUAGGUUCAAUUUCCAGUAUUUCCAGGUCAGGCUGGGAAAGAAGCCUUCUAGAAGAGCUGCUGCCAAUCAGUGUAGACAAUACUGAGGUCAAUGAACUUGAUGCUCUAUUAAAGCAUGAUUAUUGCCUGCCACCAACUAGAAAAUCUGCUGUUUGUGGGCUUCCCAGAGGCGCCUGACUAGUUACAGUGGGAAAUAGGACCCUGUUUUAGUUGGACCUCUUGGUCUAAUCCGGCAGAUCUCUUCUUAUGCUCAGGGUUCCAUCAAGUGACAAUAGUGUGUGAUUGGCAAUUCCUGUGAUGGGGCUGUCAUGCAGUCAAAUGCACACAUUCAAAGAGGUGACUUUCUGUCUACCCCUUCCCUAAGUUGAUGCAUCCCAGAUUAUUGUCUCUAGAAUUCCCAUCAGCCACAGACAACAUACUGCACAGCUGCACUGGCUAGAGCUAAUGGGAGUCGUAGUCCAAAACAUCUGGAGUGCACCAGGUUGGGGAAGGCUGGUCUACCCUUUGACAAAACAAAGGUGGGGACGAAAUCUCAGUGGUUUCCAAUGAGUGGCCUCCCCAGAUCAGCAGGCGUCAUAAGCAGGCAAGCUAAUGUGUCUGCCUCCCAGAGCUGUGAGUGGUAAGAGGAGGGAAGAGGUGAGAAAAGUCAAGAGGAAUUCAAGCUUCUGUGUUGCCUGAGUUCUGUGUUGCCUGAGUUGCCAAAAACUGCAUUAAGCUGCAAUAUUGAUAACUGAGGGCUGAUCUAAUGAUCUCGGAGCCUUCCUCUUCCAAGAUUAGAACCGAUCAGGGCAAGCGCUGGAGUUCAGAAUGCCAUUGCCAUUCUUCUUUAUAAUGAUGAAAAUUGCUUUAGUUCCUCUCCUUCCAUCAGCAUAAGAGCUUUGAGCGCCAAGGCUCCGUUUUCAUGAACAAAUGCAAGCAGUUCACCUUUGGCGUAAUUGAACAAAGAGGACCACAUACGUCCUUUAUCUAGGUUUGCUGGGUAAUCAGAAGUGGGAGAGAGAGAACUGAUAAUAUUUGCAGAAUAGCAAAUAUUCAGUUCCGUGCACAUGAUUAUGAUUAAGGCUUAAAGACGGUUAGGCGUGCUUCAGCCAACUGAGUUCGUGAGCUGUCCCUUAUCAGUGACUGGGUUGCUAUGAUGGCACAGGUUCUUAAAACAUUAGAGAUCAAAACACUGCCCCUUAACUGAGCUUAUGUGAUGCUAUGGAAUGUUUACAGAUACUCUUACUGCUGAGAUGGAAAAUUCAACCUGAAAGGGCCACAUGGGGAGAAUAGACUGAAUUGGAGUGAUUCAGAGCCAAACAUCCAUUGGUCUGAGCACAAUCAUUAGAGACCUGAAAGAAUCUUACUUACGGUAAUUUGGCGUUUGUCUGGUCCAAUUUGCAGCUAGCUAGCAAAGUAGCCAUUAUAUCUCAUCUGACAUUCAGACAAAUCUGUCCCCUGCUCUGAUUUUAUUUUGCUUAUUUUCAGAAUUUAUAUGACGGCCUUCAAUAAAUCUUUCUGAGGUGCUUUAUGAGGGAGAAAGCAUUACAUUGUAAAACCACAAAAGGCAAGUUAUAAAACAGAAACGAUAAUAAGAUUAAAACUUGCAGAUGUUAGAAGGGG